CCUCCCCAACCCACACGCCAUCAACCUCCAGACCCUCUCGCCGUGGCUUAGAGGUGUCUCUGACAACGUGGCACACUGGGAAGGCCUUCUUUCCUGCUACCAAUACAAAUGCAUUCUGAAUUUGAUAUGUCAUUAAAUGUAAAAAUACAGCCAAUUUGAAACAAGCAAAUGGAAAUUCCCAGGAACCAAAAACAGAAAGAAAAAUCAGAGCUACCGCAGUGCUGUCCCUGCAGACAGAAUUUGGGAGAGGUACUCAGAGUCACCUCCUGUGAGCCUAUGCAAGCCAGCUCCUGCACAACCCUGGUUUUAGUCCAGCCUUCUGCAGAAUUCCACAUUAAACAGGAUGAAGAAUAGGUUGUUAGCAGACUGAGGUACUUGGGGCAACAUUUCGUACACAACAGGAGGGAGAAACGACUCCAGGUUGUCUUGUGGUAGAGGAGAUUUUGCCUUGCAAUUUUACAUACUUAUGCUACGUGGAAGGCUGGGUGGCGUGACUUCAGAAAAAUGUUUCCUCAGGAAAGAGACACACAGAGAGAGAGAGAAAGAGAGAAAGAGAGAACCCACCUACCUGUUUUGCAAAAGUCUCAUGAAUCAUCCCUUCCUGUGGUCCUGCUCCCUGAGAUCCUUUCACCGCUCACAGUGGGCUACUUCUAAGAGCGUGCCUGGCACAGGGUCACUGAGAGCAUAGUCUUAAUAAAACAAUGAUGGAUGCUUGUCUCUCUCAAAAAAAAAAAAAAAAAA
Molecule: long non-coding RNA, 741 nt
Filed under: Homo sapiens (human)
Lineage: Eukaryota; Metazoa; Chordata; Mammalia; Primates; Hominidae
Description: long independently transcribed non-coding RNA 929, transcript variant 2 (LINC00929)
Source: RNAcentral